UCCACCAGCUUCAAAAGCUGCAAUUGAGUCAUUGCCAACAAUUGAGAUAAUUCAUUCUCAUAUUGUUGCUGAAUCUUGUUGUGCAGUUUGUAAAGAGGCAUUUGAGUUGGGCACUGAGGCCCGCGAAAUGCCCUGUAAACAUUUAUACCAUUCAGAUUGCAUACUCCCAUGGCUUUCGUUGCGCAAUUCGUGUCCAGUCUGUAGGCAUGAAUUGCCCUCGGAGAGUCGGGAUGUUGUCGAUCCGAAUAGAGCACCAAGCGAACAGAGUGAGCAGAGUGUAGCAACAAAUAAUGAGGUGGAAGAAGCUGUUGGAUUGACAAUAUGGAGAUUACCUGGUGGUGGAUUUGCUGUUGGGAGGUUAGGUAGGAGAGGUGGGGAGAGAGCUCUUCCUGUUGUAUUCACUGAAAUGGAUGGUGGUUUCAAUAAUAACAACAAUAAUGGAGUUCCAAGGAGGAUUUCAUGGGGUUCUAGAGGAAGCGAAUCGCGACAAAGUGGUGGCUUUAGGAGGUUUUUUGGCAACUUGUUUUCGUGUUUCGGUGGUAUUGGUUCAUCAGGGUCAAGCUCUAGUUCAG
Molecule: unclassified non-coding RNA, 572 nt
Filed under: Hevea brasiliensis (rubber tree)
Lineage: Eukaryota; Viridiplantae; Streptophyta; Magnoliopsida; Malpighiales; Euphorbiaceae
Source: RNAcentral